RNAcentral lists this ribosomal RNA (460 nucleotides) under uncultured bacterium. RNAcentral describes it as "partial 16S ribosomal RNA". It matches the Rfam family "Bacterial small subunit ribosomal RNA", at positions 338 to 795 of the family's 1533-position model. The record is from RNAcentral.
CCUACGGGAGGCAGCAGUGAGGAAUAUUGGUCAAUGGACAAGAGUCUGAACCAGCCAAGUAGCGUGAAGGAUGACUGCCCUAUGGGUUGUAAACUUCUUUUAUAUGGGAAUAAAAUGUUCCACGUGUGGGAUUUUGUAUGUACCAUAUGAAUAAGGAUCGGCUAACUCCGUGCCAGCAGCCGCGGUAAUACGGAGGAUCCGAGCGUUAUCCGGAUUUAUUGGGGUUAAAGGGAGCGUAGGUGGAUUGUUAAGUCAGUUGUGAAAGUUUGCGGCUCAACCGUAAAAUUGCAGUUGAAACUGGCAGUCUUGAGUACAGUAGAGGUGGGCGGAAUUCGUGGUGUAGCGGUGAAAUGCUUAGAUAUCACGAAGAACUCCGAUUGCGAAGGCAGUUCACUGGACUGCAACUGACACUGAGGCUCGAAAGUGUGGGUAUCAAACAGGAUUAGAUACCCUUGUAGUC